RNAcentral lists this transfer RNA (740 nucleotides) under Rhizobium leguminosarum. RNAcentral's name for it is "partial contains 16S-23S ribosomal RNA intergenic spacer; may also contain 16S ribosomal RNA and 23S ribosomal RNA; IGS type 4". The stretch from base 36 to 109 matches the Rfam family "tRNA". The record is from RNAcentral. Lineage: Bacteria; Pseudomonadati; Pseudomonadota; Alphaproteobacteria; Hyphomicrobiales; Rhizobiaceae.
GUCGAUCCAGUUUAGGCUGGGCCGGUUCCCCGAAUGGGCCCGUAGCUCAGUUGGUUAGAGCACACGCUUGAUAAGCGUGGGGUCGGAAGUUCAAGUCUUCCCGGGCCCACCAUUUGCGCCAGCAAAUGAAAUUUGCAUUUGCGAAUGAGGGUUGAGGGAUUGAUGGAAUGUCAGGCGAUGCGGAUUGUUGCCGAACCUUGGGGCUUGUCCUUGGGGUGAUCGAGCUGGAGGGGCUGUAGCUCAGCUGGGAGAGCACCUGCUUUGCAAGCAGGGGGUCAGCGGUUCGAUCCCGCUCAGCUCCACCAAAUCGAUUGGUGUUGAAGCUGACGGUAACGAAGCGAAAGCUUCGCAAGCGCAAGGCGCGUCGCCAAUCGUUUGGCGCCCCCGCGGAGCGCCUUCGGCGCGUGAGCGACAAAUUUGUCUUUUGAAGAAAUAAAAGUUUUGCAUCGGCUUAUGGCUGAUGCGUGUUCUGCAUACAUUGUGAAGAGAAGAUUGAUCUGGAGGCUUCCAGGUGUCGGGUUCUGCCCUUUUGGGUUUAAUCUGGCGUCCGAGCCCAGUUCUGAUGAUCCCAUGGAUGGCCUAGCCGGCCGGAUAUGGGUGAAGGACUGGAGGUAGGAAGGAAGCUUGUCGCUCUGGGUCGUUGUUGUUUGCUUAUCUUUAGGGAUGAGCAUCUGACGGACGACUUGAUUACCGUUGCCUGACCGCGCGGUAUCGGAUCAUAUCUCGAGAAGCUGGUCUUA